CUACGGGAGGCUCCAGUGGGGAAUAUUGCACAAUGGAGGAAACUCUGAUGCAGCAACGCCGCGUGGAGGAUGACACUUUUCGGAGCGUAAACUCCUUUUAUAUAGGAAGAAGAUGACGGUACUAUAUGAAUAAGCGCCGGCUAACUCCGUGCCAGCAGCCGCGGUAAUACGGAGGGCGCAAGCGUUACUCGGAAUCACUGGGCGUAAAGAGCGUGUAGGCGGAUUAAAAAGUCAGAAGUGAAAUCCUAUAGCUUAACUAUAGAACUGCUUCUGAAACUCUUAAUCUAGAAUAUGGGAGAGGUAGAUGGAAUUUCUGGUGUAGGGGUAAAAGCCGUAGAGAUCAGAGGGAAUACCGAUUGCGAAGGCGAUCUACUAGAACAUUAUUGACGCUGAGACGCGAAAGCGUGGGGAGCAAACAGGAUUAGAUACCCCCGUAGUC
RNAcentral lists this ribosomal RNA (439 nucleotides) under uncultured bacterium. Its description in RNAcentral is "partial 16S ribosomal RNA". It matches the Rfam family "Bacterial small subunit ribosomal RNA", at positions 339 to 795 of the family's 1533-position model. The record is from RNAcentral.